GACGAACGCUGGCGGCGUGCUUAACACAUGCAAGUCGAACGCUGAAGCUCAGCUUUUGUUGGGUGGAUGAGUGGCGAACGGGUGAGUAACACGUGAGUAACCUGCCUCCUUCUUUGGGAUAACGCCCGGAAACGGGUGCUAAUACUGGAUAUUCACUGGUCUUCGCAUGGGGGUUGGUGGAAAGGGUUUUUCUGGUGGGGGAUGGGCUCGCGGCCUAUCAGCUUGUUGGUGGGGUGAUGGCCUACCAAGGCUUUGACGGGUAGCCGGCCUGAGAGGGUGACCGGUAACAUUGGGACUGAGAUACGGCCCAGACUCCUACGGGAGGCAGAAGUGGGGAAUAAUGCACAAUGGGCGCAAGACUGAUGCAGCGACGCCGCGUGAGGGAUGGAGGCCUUCGGGUUGUGAACCUCUUUCGCUAAUGGUCAAGCCGCAACAAUGGUUGUGGUGAGGGUAGUGGGUAAAGAAGCGCCGGCUAACUACGUG
Molecule: ribosomal RNA, 483 nt
Filed under: uncultured bacterium
Lineage: Bacteria
Description: partial 16S ribosomal RNA
Rfam family: Bacterial small subunit ribosomal RNA
Source: RNAcentral